RNAcentral lists this ribosomal RNA (154 nucleotides) under Escherichia coli. RNAcentral's name for it is "partial 23S ribosomal RNA". It matches the Rfam family "Bacterial large subunit ribosomal RNA", at positions 1 to 144 of the family's 2925-position model. The record is from RNAcentral. Lineage: Bacteria; Pseudomonadati; Pseudomonadota; Gammaproteobacteria; Enterobacterales; Enterobacteriaceae.
GGGUUGUGAGGUUAAGCGACUAAGCGUACACGGUGGAUGCCCUGGCAGUCAGAGGCGAUGAAGGACGUGCUAAUCUGCGAUAAGCGUCGGUAAGGUGAUAUGAACCGUUAUAACCGGCGAUUUCCGAAUGGGGAAACCCAGUGUGUUUCGACAC